Molecule: ribosomal RNA, 253 nt
Filed under: uncultured bacterium
Lineage: Bacteria
Description: partial 16S ribosomal RNA
Rfam family: Bacterial small subunit ribosomal RNA
Source: RNAcentral
UACGUAGGCAGCGAGCGUUGUUCGGAGUUACUGGGCGUAAAGAGUGCGUAGGCGGUUUUCUAAGUUUGGUGUGAAAUCUCCCGGCUUAACUGGGAGGGUGCGCCGAAAACUGGAAGGCUUGAGUAUGGGAGAGGUAAGCGGAAUUCCUGGUGUAGCGGUGAAAUGCGUAGAUAUCGGGAGGAACACCAAUGGCGAAGGCAGCUCGCUGGGACGGUACUGACGCUGAGACGCGAAAGCGUCGGGAGCAAACAGG